RNAcentral lists this transfer RNA (76 nucleotides) under Alphaproteobacteria bacterium. RNAcentral describes it as "tRNA-Thr". It matches the Rfam family "tRNA". From Rfam's summary of the family: Transfer RNA (tRNA) molecules are approximately 80 nucleotides in length. Their secondary structure includes four short double-helical elements and three loops (D, anti-codon, and T loops). Further hydrogen bonds mediate the characteristic L-shaped molecular structure. tRNAs have two regions of fundamental functional importance: the anti-codon, which is responsible for specific mRNA codon recognition, and the 3' end, to which the tRNAs corresponding amino acid is attached (by aminoacyl-tRNA synthetases). tRNAs cope with the degeneracy of the genetic code in two manners: having more than one tRNA (with a specific anti-codon) for a particular amino acid; and 'wobble' base-pairing, i.e. permitting non-standard base-pairing at the 3rd anti-codon position. The record is from RNAcentral. RNAcentral also lists the same sequence under 3 other names. Lineage: Bacteria; Pseudomonadati; Pseudomonadota; Alphaproteobacteria.
GCCGCUUUAGCUCAGUUGGUAGAGCAACUGAUUUGUAAUCAGUGGGUCGGGAGUUCAAAUCUCUCAAGCGGCACCA